GAUGAACGCUGGCGGCGUGCUUAACACAUGCAAGUCGAACGGAAAGGCUCCUGCUUGCAGGGGUACUCGAGUGGCGAACGGGUGAGUAACACGUGGGUGAUCUGCCCUGCACUUCGGGAUAAGCCUGGGAAACUGGGUCUAAUACCGGAUAGGACGAUGGUUUGGAUGCCAUUGUGGAAAGUUUUUCGGUGUGGGAUGAGCUCGCGGCCUAUCAGCUUGUUGGUGGGGUAAUGGCCUACCAAGGCGUCGACGGGUAGCCGGCCUGAGAGGGUGUACGGACACAGUGGGACUGAGAUGAGGCACAGACUCCUACGGGAGGCAGCAGUGGGGAAGAUUGCACAAUGGGGGGAAGGCUGAUGCAGCGAAGCCGCGUCGGGGGUGACGGCCUUCGGGUUGGAAACUCCUUUCGCUAGGGACGAAGCGCAAGUGACGGUACCUGGAGAAGAAGCACCGGCUAACUACGUG
RNAcentral lists this ribosomal RNA (465 nucleotides) under uncultured bacterium. Its description in RNAcentral is "partial 16S ribosomal RNA". It matches the Rfam family "Bacterial small subunit ribosomal RNA", at positions 28 to 507 of the family's 1533-position model. The record is from RNAcentral.